This 87-nucleotide non-coding RNA is filed under the name Paenibacillus uliginis N3/975. Lineage: Bacteria; Bacillati; Bacillota; Bacilli; Caryophanales; Paenibacillaceae. The record is from RNAcentral.
UAACCGUAGCCGGAAGGUUACGCUGAACUGACAGGAGUCAGCAGAGGUCAUAGUACGGGAGUAAGGGACGCCAGAAACCGGAAGGAC